This 501-nucleotide ribosomal RNA is filed under the name uncultured bacterium. RNAcentral's name for it is "bacterial SSU rRNA". It matches the Rfam family "Bacterial small subunit ribosomal RNA", at positions 26 to 518 of the family's 1533-position model. The record is from RNAcentral.
UCGAGGACGAACGCUGGCGGCGUGCUUAACACAUGCAAGUCGAACGGGGAUAUUCGAGCGGAAGGCUUCGGCCGGAAGGUUGGAUAUUCGAGUGGCGGACGGGUGAGUAACGCGUGAACAAUCUGUCCCAGACAGGGGGAUAACACUUGGAAACAGGUGCUAAUACCGCAUGAGACCACGGUAUCGCAUGGUACAGGGGUAAAAGGAGCAAUCCGGUUUGGGGUGAGUUCGCGUCCGAUUAGCCAGUUGGCGGGUAACGGCCCACCAAAGCGACGAUCGGUAGCCGAUCUGAGAGGAUGACCGGCCACAUUGGAACUGAGAGACGGUCCAAACUCCUACGGGAGGCAGCAGUGGGGAAUAUUGGGCAAUGGGGCGAAAGCCUGACCCAGCAACGCCGCGUGAGUGAAGAAGGCUUUCGGGUUGUAAAGCUCUGUUAUAGGGGACGAAGGGAGUGACGGUACCCUAUAAGGAAGCCCCGGCUAACUACGUGCCAGCCGCCGC